AUGCCCAUGGUGUAGUGGUUAUCACAACCGCCUAACACGCGGAUAGUCCCAUGUUCGAAACCUGGUCGGUACA
This 73-nucleotide transfer RNA is filed under the name Trichonephila clavipes. Its description in RNAcentral is "tRNA-Val". The record is from RNAcentral. Lineage: Eukaryota; Metazoa; Arthropoda; Arachnida; Araneae; Nephilidae.